GGAGAGGUGGAUGAGUGGUUUAAGUCGCACGCCUGGAAAGCGUGUUUGGGAUAAUAUCCCAACGAGGGUUCGAAUCCCUCCCUCUCCGCCA
RNAcentral lists this transfer RNA (91 nucleotides) under Rhodocyclaceae bacterium. Its description in RNAcentral is "tRNA-Ser". It matches the Rfam family "tRNA". Rfam says of the family: Transfer RNA (tRNA) molecules are approximately 80 nucleotides in length. Their secondary structure includes four short double-helical elements and three loops (D, anti-codon, and T loops). Further hydrogen bonds mediate the characteristic L-shaped molecular structure. tRNAs have two regions of fundamental functional importance: the anti-codon, which is responsible for specific mRNA codon recognition, and the 3' end, to which the tRNAs corresponding amino acid is attached (by aminoacyl-tRNA synthetases). tRNAs cope with the degeneracy of the genetic code in two manners: having more than one tRNA (with a specific anti-codon) for a particular amino acid; and 'wobble' base-pairing, i.e. permitting non-standard base-pairing at the 3rd anti-codon position. RNAcentral also lists the same sequence under 2 other names. The record is from RNAcentral. Lineage: Bacteria; Pseudomonadati; Pseudomonadota; Betaproteobacteria; Rhodocyclales; Rhodocyclaceae.